RNAcentral lists this ribosomal RNA (996 nucleotides) under uncultured Gammaproteobacteria bacterium. RNAcentral describes it as "bacterial SSU rRNA". It matches the Rfam family "Bacterial small subunit ribosomal RNA", at positions 8 to 994 of the family's 1533-position model. The record is from RNAcentral. Lineage: Bacteria; Pseudomonadati; Pseudomonadota; Gammaproteobacteria.
AGAGUUUGAUCAUGGCUCAGAUUGAACGCUGGCGGCAUGCCUAACACAUGCAAGUCGAACGGAAACGAUGGGAGCUUGCUCCCAGGCGUCGAGUGGCGGACGGGUGAGUAACACAUAGGAAUCUGCCCAGUAGCGGGGGACAACUUGGGGAAACUCAAGCUAAUACCGCAUACGCCCUACGGGGGAAAGCGGGGGACCUUCGGGCCUCGCACUAUUGGAUGAGCCUAUGUCAGAUUAGCUUGAUGGUGGGGUAAUGGCCUACCAAGGCGACGAUCUGUAGCUGGUCUGAGAGGACGAUCAGCCACACUGGGACUGAGACACGGCCCAGACUCCUACGGGAGGCAGCAGUGGGGAAUAUUGCACAAUGGGCGAAAGCCUGAUGCAGCAAUGCCGCGUGUGUGAAGAAGGCCUGCGGGUUGUAAAGCACUUUCAGUGGGGAGGAAACAGUUGCGGGUUAAUAUCCCGCGACCUUGACGUUACCCACAGAAGAAGCACCGGCUAACUCUGUGCCAGCAGCCGCGGUAAUACAGAGGGUGCGAGCGUUAAUCGGAAUUACUGGGCGUAAAGCGCGCGUAGGCGGCUUGGUCAGUCGGAUGUGAAAGCCCCGGGCUUAACCUGGGAAUUGCAUUCGAUACUGCCUGGCUAGAAUGUAGUAGAGGGAGGUGGAAUUCCAGGUGUAGCGGUGAAAUGCGUAGAUAUCUGGAGGAACAUCAGUGGCGAAGGCGACUUCCUGGACUAACAUUGACGCUGAGGUGCGAAAGCGUGGGGGAGCAAACAGGAUUAGAUACCCUGGUAGUCCACGCCGUAAACGAUGUCAACUAGAUGUUGGGGGGUUUAACCCUUUAGUAUCGCAGCUAACGCAUUAAGUUGACCGCCUGGGGAGUACGGCCGCAAGGUUAAAACUCAAAGGAACUGACGGGGGCCCGCACAAGCGGUGGAGCAUGUGGUUUAAUUCGAUGCAACGCGAAGACCUUACCUGCCCUUGACAUUGACAGA